GUACUACUCCCUCCAUCCUAAAAUUCUUGGCUUAGAUUUGUCUAGAUACGGAUGUAUCUAAUACUAAAAUGUAACUUGAUACAUCCGUAUUUACAUAAAUCUAAGACAAGAAUUUUGGGUUGGAGGGAGUAGUAU
Molecule: non-coding RNA, 135 nt
Organism: Triticum aestivum (bread wheat)
Lineage: Eukaryota; Viridiplantae; Streptophyta; Magnoliopsida; Poales; Poaceae
Source: Rfam